GGGUAGCCGUUGCUGUGCUUUUAUGUUUUCGGGAGCAGGUCUGGUAUGGACUCUUGUUCCCGUGCAGCCUCUUGCAGCGUUGUCCUUGUGGGAGGGAGAGGGAUGGGAAGAACCCAUGGAAUGGAACCCGUGGAAUUACCUGGGUUUGAAUUAAGAAGGACUCAGCUGGGUUUGAAACUUAUGCUUCAACUAGCUAAGACAAACUAGUAAGGGACAGCUAUUUUCCGGUUUUUCUGGAGAAGUGCAAAGUCCUCUUUCUUUAAGACAAAUGAGAUAUUUGGAGCUGAGUCUGUGUUCUGGCACUGAGGAUCCUACUGCAGGUGAAGUCCCAUAGCAGGAGUCCCUGAAACAUCAAGGUUUGAUGAAGUAAAUUGCAAUGGUGAAGAGGCCCAUGUGGCAAGGAGCUGAGGGUGGCCUCUGAUCAACAGUCAGUGAUAAUCAAGUCCCUCAGAACAACACUCAAGGAACUGACUUCUGCCAAUAACCACCUGUGGACUCAAGUUCCUUCUCAAGUGACGAAGCUGGGUAAAGGAUCUCCUUUGUAAGCUGCUUGAAGAAGGUUUGCUGGAGCCGUGUGAAAGUGCUUACUGUCUAGAAGACAGAGCUAUUUUUAGCUUGAAGCCUUUGUUUAGGGAGCAACUUUUGAAGUCGAUGAUGAUGCCAGAUUUGGAAGAAUUUUGGAGGCCUGUGUUUGGGGAGCAGCGCAGAUGAGAAUCAGAUUGGAUCUGCAGACGGUGGGACGUUACAAAUAUGUAUUGAGCACACGUUAUAUAGAAGGACGACGAGACAGUGGAAUCCUGUGACAAAUCACUCCUUUUAAAGAGAAAUAUAAAUACAAUCUCGGCUUCCUCAUCUGUGAAGUGAUUGGACCAGUUCAUUACUCCCUGCAUAUGCAAUGAUUUCACAAUGACAAAACUAAAAAAGGCGAUUGAAAUUCUACUGAACAGAAAGACCUCCCUGCCGUAUCACCGACAGUCUGUCAGGGGUUGCCUCAGGGCCAGAAGUUGAGAAGCACUAACUCCAAAGAAGAGAGCCAGUGGAGAGAGUAACGAGCCUUCCAUUAAAGAAGAGCGUGGAGGAGAUAGACUGGAGCUGGUGUGCGCCCGUGAUCCCAGAGUUCUAGAAUCUCAUAAACUCACUCGCUCAUAAAACAUGGGUGAAUACUGGGAAAUGCAGUUUCUCCUUCUCUGUCAUGCUGAAUCAACCACCAAGGUGUGCCAGCUAACUACAGUCUGAAGCCUCCAACCAGACCUCUGCUUAUGGGCCUGGUUGUAUGGUCACAUGAAUCCAGGCAACUGAAUAUGGCUAUAAAGGCACAGACUUUACUCUUAAGGUCUCAGGAAGACCACCCAACAGCAAGGGAAACUGAAGGUGAAGUCUACAUAUGCAGGCUUUGAAGAACAUGAUGACACAUGGGGACCAGCCAGAAGAUAUAUGACGCUUGUUAAGCUGGAGCAGCUCAGAUGAUCUGUUUAGCUGUGGGUAGCUCCUCUGGAUUUAAGGGGCUUCCUUUUCAUGGUCUCAUCUUCUGCAGGAGGCAGCUUUUCCAGAAAUAAGCCUCUGAACGUGGGGCUGAGGCAAUGAUCACAGGGAUCUGGUGUCAGCCAUCAUUUUAUGAUGCUCCGUGAAUUCUUCAGAGGCUUCUCUUUACACUUUCUAAAGCUGCCAUAUUUCCCUAUGAGUUGGAAAAUAUUUUCUACCCAUUCUUGAUAGAAAUAUGUGUGAAAAGAGGAUAAAUAGGUUCUAACCCUGGUUUUAUUUGUAAAAUACAUGUGCUUUAGUUUGUUGAGCUUACAGUGUCUCUUUUGAAGGCCUUUCUCUUUUGCUUGGUCCUUGGCUAUACAGGGGGAUAGUUGAGGUCACCAAAUAAAUGACUUCCAGGUUAGAGAAUUAUUACGUCUCUGAAACUGCUAUUGAAAUGAUUUUUGUCAGCAUUUUUCUGGAAAAAUGCAUCAAGUUUUUAUGCUUUUAAGGGCAUCUUCUUUGUUCUUUAAAAGUAAAUAUUAUUUAACACUAUCCACAGCUUCAUUUUCCUGUUUAAUUUUUUAGGAUUUUUUUAACAAUCGAGGUUUGUGAUGCUGAUAUAGUUUUUUAAAUACUCUGAAAUGUAGCUCACUGGGGCAUGUAGAUUAAUUAUAUUUAUCUUAGUAAAGAACAUUGUUUAAAUUCUCUCUUCUUCCUUUCCUUUUUUCCUCAUUCCUUCUUCCAUUUCCCCUCUAUGGGCACGUAGGCUCAUUAGACUCAACUUCUUCCCUCCCUUCCUUCCUUCAUCCUGUAUUUAGUUAGCUCUUACUGUAGUCUUAGUGCUCCCCUCAGGAGUUUACCCUUCAGUAGAGAGGGCAAAAUGUUCACAAGUUUCAUAAUGAAAUACAAUAUGUGUUUAAAUGCUACAUGAGUUACAAAUUGUGUUACACCUUCAUGAAGGAGAGAUAAUUCCUGGUUGAGUGAUGUAACCGAGAUUAAUGUCUUGCAGACUGAGUUUCUAAAGAACACAGUUGGGAAAUAUCAGAAUGAGGAUGGACUAGGUUGGAGAGGUAGGGUGAGGGCAAAGCCUGGAGGGCCUUGAAGGUCAAACUAAGGACUGGAUACUGUCAGCACAUCUAUUCUUUGCCUAGAAUGAGCCUAAUAUUGUGUUGGAACACGCCUAGCAUUGGAACAGGAGCCAUGAUUAACUAGAUUUGAAUGGGGAAAGGGCAGAAUCUGGACUGAGGACUGGGCAGAGCAGUAGGUGCUAUCUCUUUUGACCAGUCAGCCCCUGCCUGCACCAUCCAACGGGGAAAGUGAGCUAUGAGAAGGCAGACGCAGUUGAUCAAGGGCCGUAUCAGCAGUGGGGACACAACAGUUACAGAGCGGGAGGCCAGAGCAGAGAUUCAGGUGAGUCCAGAUAAGCUCAGAAGCCAGGCAUAUUUUUAUGUCUUUUGGCUUUCUUUCCAUUUCUUUCCUCUAUGUCACUGCUAAUUUUGUUUCUUUCCUGCUCUUCCUUCUCUCAUCGUUUUCUCCACUCUUCUUGCUUUUUUAUUUUUCACGUAUUCUUUUGCUCUGUCCUCUUUCCUCUUCAGCUACCCUCUGCCCAAUAUGAAAGCCCUUUCUCCUCCUCGUCCUCAUCUUCCCUUUGACCAGCUCUAUCUCAAGUAUUUUUCUUUCUUUUCCUCAGUUCCUGGAGUGGGGAGACAUUUUCCACUGUUAGGUAGAUGUCAGCCUGCAGUUCUGGGGACCUUUCUGAGCUACCUUUCUAUCUCUCCUAAAUCCUGCUCUAAAAUUUCUAUUGACAGCCUCAGCCUCAUUCUUGACUUUAGUGGCCUCUAUUAGCUCUCAGUCUUGCUUAACAUCUGCGUUGUACUAAUAGUGAUAUGUUCUUGGACUGUGCCCACUGGUUUCUUUAGCUUUUAGAAAUUUUAAAUUGUUCUUUCUGUUCUCCACUUACAAUAAAUGUAGCUGGGGACCAUACCAGCUUGAUUAACUCCGAAGCAGUGGUUCUCUACUGGGUGAUUUUGUCUACGAGGGGACAUUUGGCCUUGUCCGGGGGCAUUUUUGGUUGUUGCAAUUGGGUAGAGGGGAGAGAUGCUGGCAUCUAAUAGUAGAAGUCAAGGAUUCUGUGAAACAUCCUACAAUGCACAGGACAGUCCCUUCCAAAAGAGAAUUAUCCAGCCCAACAUGUCAAGAUUACUGAGACUGAGAAACUCUGAUCCAAAGGUAUUUAUCUUGGAGCUAUGUCAAAUAUGUGAAUAAUAAUAGGACUAAUCAAAACCAAAUUUAAUUGCAAUCAAUUAGGGUAAACAAUGGGGGCAUCUUGAGAUGGCAAACAGUAAAUGUGCCUGUGUUAAUAACAACAAAAAUAAUUCUUUGUGCUCUACCCGUCUACUGAUUUUUACUUAUAAAAAUUAUGUUCAUUAGCUUUCCCCACCCGACCCAACAACCUGGUGAGUUUGGUGUGGGAGAUAUAUUUGGAAUGUAAGGAAACUGAAGCAUUGAGAACAAGAUGACCCUCCUUAGGACCCCAGCCAUAUACAGAUUUAUGGAUUUUCAUCCAAGGCAAAAAUGCAGGGCUGUUCGUACAGCUUAACUGGAGCUAUACUGGCAGAAAAUAAGGGCAGGAACCAAAGCUGCUGUCACAAAGAAAGGACUCUCCCAGUUCUCUAUUUGGUAUUUAAAAAUAGGAGAGAAAAUGGCAUAGCUUGAAUCUGAGAUAAUGCUUGCCACUUUGUGAAUGUUCUUACAGUGCAUUGCCUUCGAAACAAAUUGGCCCUCGUCUACAAAGGUUUCUUUUUUGUACUCUCACAAACUCAUUUUUAAUGGCUUGUAUGGCAUCAGUUGUGCCCCUGAGCUGUAAUGAAGCACUCUGCAAGUCACCACACGCGUCAGAAAUGAAUCUCAUGGAGGGGAAAAUGCUGGAGCAUUAAUAGGUUUUAAUCCAAGGUAAGCAAACCUAUUGGGCCACUACCAUGUGCUUUUUAAAUCUAAAUGUCAUGAAAUUCUCAGCAGUCUUCUCUUGCCUGCACAUCAGUUUUGGUCCAGAGACAGCCAAGUAGGGAUCAGAAGGGAAAAAUCUAAAAUGCACAUAUCUGCCCAGGCGCGCACCUUAAGGAGUUUACAAGUACCAUCCAGGCAAAACAAAGAAAUAAUUGAUGGAGCCAAGGGAUACUGGCUUCAUAGGGCAGGCAUCUGAAAAGCCUGUUAGUGCAGCAGACAUCUUACAAUAUAUUUGAUCCUAUCUUCAAUAUCUUGGGUGGAGAAGAGGUGUUGAAAUCUGAGAGUCUCUGUUAUGUAGCUUUUCCCCUUAGGUUUUUGUUUAAGUGGAUAAGCAAUGUUUGUAUAUUGCACUUUAUUGCACUGAUACAAGCCGAAUUACUCAGAUUUAAUUGCUAAGCAUCCAAUUUUAAACUUCAUUUUGCACAGUACCUCGGCAGCUUUUGAUAGAUGUUUAACCAUUCAGGAAACAACGAUCUCUGAAUAUUAAAGUAAAACAAAUUGGUUUCACACUGGUGAGACUUUCUGUGUAUGUGUGAAUCUAGAGGUAUAUUUUGAAUUUUCUUUCUCUAGCUGGGUGACUGUGAAAUAUAGAGAUUCACUCAGGGCCUCACCUUCAGGCCCUUUGGGGGCUGUGGCUGCUGGCCCCACAUCCCUCAUACUUCUCAUGCUUGAUGUGUUAAUUGCUAUAGUUUCUAUGGGGAUCUUCCUCUUCUCUCUAAUGGAAUGGAAAAUGUGUAGUUAGUCAUAAUACAACAGAUUCAAUUAAGCUAAAUUAUAGAAAUGUUGAGGACGUGCAAAAGAAAUUUUAAAAUUUAGCCAUGUUUUCAUGUCUGAAUUUAGACGUCUUUGUAAAGCUUACUAUGCACAAGGCAUGGAUUAUUGCUUUAUUUAAUCCUCAUCAAACUUUAUGGAGGUGUUGUUAUCAUACCUGUUUUAAAUGAGGAAACUGAGGCACUGGGCGGUUAUGUAAUUCGUCCAAGGUCACACAGCUUAUAGGAGGCAUAAGUAGAAUCUGAAUCCAGACUGCCUGUGGAGACGUUGUGUGCUCCUAACCAUUCUGCUGCACUCCUCAGAGCAAGUAACAUAAAUAUUUAAUAGCGAAUCGCAGUAAUUUUAGACCUCCUCUGUUGCAUUUUCUUAUUAUCUAAGGCUAUGAAUAAUUUGCAGCUACUCACAGAAAAAGACCAAUGGUUCAGAGAAAUUUUGGUCCCACUCAAGAGUACUACAUGACUCUAUGGAUGGCCACUUCUCCAGAUUUAACUGCCUUUAUAUAAUGAAACUGUUGGUCCUACCAAUAUUUUAUAGAAAGCAAAGCUGCAAAUGAGUCUUAGACCAUAGCCAGAAGUUCUGCUAUCCCGGGACAUAGUUGGAAGAGUCCGGAUAGAGAAUAAAAUGAAGUUCGGUGUGUCCUUCCUAAGACCUACCAUAUUGUAAACUUGGGAUGGUCACCAGUAGUCUCAAUGACUGAUUCCCAUCUUGUGGCUUUGGAAAGCAGAAGAAAUAGGAGCAGGAAGACAUGAUUCAGAAGGUUGAGGAUAAACCUUCUCACACUUUACUGGGCUUAUGAAUAUCCCAGAGAUGUUAAAAUGUAGAUUCUUUUUUGUAGGUCUGAGGCGAGUCCAGAAAUUCUGAAUUUCUGUUAAACAUCUAGAGAUUGCUGAUGCUACUGGUCCAUGAACUACAUUUUGAGGCAAGGAUCUAGAAUCAACCAGCAGCAUCACCAUCACCUGAAAGCUUGUUAGAAAGGAAGAUUCUGGGGCCGGCCCAGUGGCGCAGCGGUUAA
This is a non-coding RNA of Equus caballus (horse), 6253 nucleotides long. NCBI's taxonomy places the organism in Eukaryota, Metazoa, Chordata, Mammalia, Perissodactyla, Equidae. The record is from RefSeq and is a predicted model, not a curated record.